Molecule: ribosomal RNA, 531 nt
Filed under: uncultured Glomeromycotina
Lineage: Eukaryota; Fungi; Glomeromycota
Description: SSU rRNA
Rfam family: Eukaryotic small subunit ribosomal RNA
Source: RNAcentral
CAGCCGCGGUAAUUCCAGCUCCAAUAGCGUAUAUUAAAGUUGUUGCAGUUAAAAAGCUCGUAGUUGAAUUUCGGGAUUGACACAUCGGUCGUGCCUUAAGGGGUAUGAACUGGUGUAGUCAAUUUCUCACCUUCUGGAGAACCGCGAUGCCCUUAAUUGGGUGUCACGGGGAACCAGGACCUUUACUUUGAAAAAAUUAGAGUGUUUAAAGCAGGCAUUUGCUUGAAUACAUUAGCAUGGAAUAAUAAAAUAGGACGGCAUGAUUCUAUUUUGUUGGUUUCUAGGAUCACCGUAAUGAUUAAUAGGGAUAGUUGGGGGCAUUAGUAUUCAAUUGUCAGAGGUGAAAUUCUUGGAUUUAUUGAAGACUAACUACUGCGAAAGCAUUUGCCAAGGAUGUUUUCAUUAAUCAAGAACGAAAGUUAGGGGAUCGAAGACGAUCAGAUACCGUCGUAGUCUUAACCAUAAACUAUGCCGACUAGGGAUCGGAUGAUGUUAAUUUUAUAAUGACUCAUUCGGCACCUUACGGGAAAC